This 785-nucleotide ribosomal RNA is filed under the name Limnohabitans parvus II-B4. Its description in RNAcentral is "bacterial SSU rRNA". It matches the Rfam family "Bacterial small subunit ribosomal RNA", at positions 1 to 780 of the family's 1533-position model. Lineage: Bacteria; Pseudomonadati; Pseudomonadota; Betaproteobacteria; Burkholderiales; Comamonadaceae. The record is from RNAcentral.
AGAUCGAACUAUAGAGUUUGAUCCUGGCUCAGAUUGAACGCUGGCGGAAUGCUUUACACAUGCAAGUCGAACGGUAGAGGGGGCAACCCCUCGAGAGUGGCGAACGGGUGAGUAAUAUAUCGGAACGUGCCCAGUCGUGGGGGAUAACGUAGCGAAAGUUACGCUAAUACCGCAUACGAUCUAAGGAUGAAAGCGGGGGAUCGCAAGACCUCGCGCGAUUGGAGCGGCCGAUAUCAGAUUAGGUAGUUGGUGGGGUAAAGGCUCACCAAGCCAACGAUCUGUAGCUGGUCUGAGAGGACGACCAGCCACACUGGAACUGAGACACGGUCCAGACUCCUACGGGAGGCAGCAGUGGGGAAUUUUGGACAAUGGACGCAAGUCUGAUCCAGCCAUUCCGCGUGCAGGAUGAAGGCCCUCGGGUUGUAAACUGCUUUUGUACGGAACGAAAAGGUCUCUCUUAAUACGGGGGGCUCAUGACGGUACCGUAAGAAUAAGCACCGGCUAACUACGUGCCAGCAGCCGCGGUAAUACGUAGGGUGCAAGCGUUAAUCGGAAUUACUGGGCGUAAAGCGUGCGCAGGCGGUUAUAUAAGACAGAUGUGAAAUCCCCGGGCUCAACCUGGGAACUGCAUUUGUGACUGUAUAGCUAGAGUACGGUAGAGGGGGAUGGAAUUCCGCGUGUAGCAGUGAAAUGCGUAGAUAUGCGGAGGAACACCGAUGGCGAAGGCAAUCCCCUGGACCUGUACUGACGCUCAUGCACGAAAGCGUGGGGAGCAAACAGGAUUA